GAUGAACGCUGGCGGCGUGCCUAAUACAUGCAAGUCGAGCGAACGGACGAGAAGCUUGCUUCUCUGAUGUUAGCGGCGGACGGGUGAGUAACACGUGGAUAACCUACCUAUAAGACUGGGAUAACUUCGGGAAACCGGAGCUAAUACCGGAUAAUAUUUUGAACCGCAUGGUUCAAAAGUGAAAGACGGUCUUGCUGUCACUUAUAGAUGGAUCCGCGCUGCAUUAGCUAGUUGGUAAGGUAACGGCUUACCAAGGCAACGAUGCAUAGCCGACCUGAGAGGGUGAUCGGCCACACUGGAACUGAGACACGGUCCAGACUCCUACGGGAGGCAGCAGUAGGGAAUCUUCCGCAAUGGGCGAAAGCCUGACGGAGCAACGCCGCGUGAGUGAUGAAGGUCUUCGGAUCGUAAAACUCUGUUAUUAGGGAAGAACAUAUGUGUAAGUAACUGUGCACAUCUUGACGGUACCUAAUCAGAAAGCCACGGCUAACUACGUGCCAGCAGCCGCGGUAAUACGUAGGUGGCAAGCGUUAUCCGGAAUUAUUGGGCGUAAAGCGCGCGUAGGCGGUUUUUUAAGUCUGAUGUGAAAGCCCACGGCUCAACCGUGGAGGGUCAUUGGAAACUGGAAAACUUGAGUGCAGAAGAGGAAAGCGGGAUUCCAUGUGUAGCGGUGAAAUGCGCAGAGAUAUGGAGGAACACCAGUGGCGAAGGCGACUUUCUGGUCUGUAACUGACGCUGAUGUGCGAAAGCGUGGGGAUCAAACAGGAUUAGAUACCCUGGUAGUCCACGCCGUAAACGAUGAGUGCUAAGUGUUAGGGGGUUUCCGCCCCUUAGUGCUGCAGCUAACGCAUUAAGCACUCCGCCUGGGGAGUACGACCGCAAGGUUGAAACUCAAAGGAAUUGACGGGGACCCGCACGAGCGGUGGAGCAUGUGGUUUAAUUCGAAGCAACGCGAAGAACCUUACCAAAUCUUGACAUCCUUUGACAACUCUAGAGAUAGAGCCUUCCCCUUCGGGGGGGCAAAGUGACAGGUGGUGCAUGGUUGUCGUCAGCUCGUGUCGUGAGAUGUUGGGUUAAGUCCCGCAACGAGCGCAACCCUUAAGCUUAGUUGCCAUCAUUAAGUUGGGCACUCUAAGUUGACUGCCGGUGACAAACCGGAGGAAGGUGGGGAUGACGUCAAAUCAUCAUGCCCCUUAUGAUUUGGGCUACACACGUGCUACAAUGGACAAUACAAAGGGCAGCGAAACCGCGAGGUCAAGCAAAUCCCAUAAAGUUGUUCUCAGUUCGGAUUGUAGUCUGCAACUCGACUACAUGAAGCUGGAAUCGCUAGUAAUCGUAGAUCAGCAUGCUACGGUGAAUACGUUCCCGGGUCU
RNAcentral lists this ribosomal RNA (1373 nucleotides) under uncultured bacterium. RNAcentral's name for it is "bacterial SSU rRNA". It matches the Rfam family "Bacterial small subunit ribosomal RNA", at positions 28 to 1381 of the family's 1533-position model. The record is from RNAcentral.